CAUCUUAGCGGCGCGGCGGCCGCCGGUGCGGCGCGGUGCGGUGCGGGGCAGCGUUGUUCCGCUGCCGCCCCCCCGGCGCUUUCGGAGGGGGCAGCACAGCGGUAGUAAAGCUCCGCGGUCUUUUGUCUCCUGCCGCAGGUCUCUGGGAGCGCUGAGGAAACGGUGCAGAGACAAGUUUUUUCGUUCGUCUCUAGUUUAGUGUUUUAAAGUCGGACGUAGUAGUGCGUGUACGGCUGCGUGACCGUAUAACGGUCCGCAAAAACGCUUUAUUUUUGAUUCCGGAUUGCUUGUUGUAGCUAAGCCCUUUUGCCCUGUUCAUCGGAUUUGGACUUUUCUGCCCCUGCCUACCUCACUGGAGUACCUGAUGGAUGGCUUAGUGUCGCACACCGACCCCCUCCUGAGGGGCCUCCUGAGCGUCCCCUCAGGGCUUGAUCCUACCUGAGUUCUUUAACCGCAGAAAGACUGCAGACGAGCACUUGGGUUGCCAAACUAUGGCCCUUGGAGAACCCAGGUGUGACACACAGGAUGGAUAAUCUUUUGGCUCCGUUCCCGCGUGGUGGAGUGUGAUCAGUUCAGGCUGAUCAUCUCAGGCCGAUGUACAAAAAGGUGUUCAGCACCUAAAUACUAUUGUAUGUCUGGGCCUAGCUGGCUAUGACUGUGAAAAACAACUGAGUGAUAAUACUGCAUUGACUAAGACUCCAGGAGCUGCAGCUCACCAGCUUCAAUAAUUUAAUUAAAAAACAAAUAAACCAGUGUGUUUCCUUGAUUAAAGGCAAACUUGAACCAUAAAGAUAAGAAUUAAGAUACAUGUGGCUUUACAGUAUUCUUGCAUAUUAAACAUGAACUGGAAAAAGAGAUGUUGCAGACUUGUGAUGGUGCAGCAAAGGAUGAAACCCUGGUACUGUAAACAAAGAUCAUUGCUGCUUUCUGGCUUGCCUUUUUGCUUUGAAACGGGAGGUGACCUGAAGCAUAUCGUCAUGAUAUUCGUGGCAUUCCACCUGAAGGUACAAAGUGCUGCAAUCUUCAGCUGUUUUGCAUUCAGACACGGAGGUUUCAAGUCAUUUCCCUCUCCAGUGCAAGUGUUUGGAGCACCGGCUGAAGAUCAGGUGAUUGCUAGAAUGCUUACUCCUAUACAUGCUGGUUCUUUCUAUGUGCAGCACAAAAAUGAACUGUCUUGUGGAAAGAGAAAUGCCAGGGAUUGGUAG
RNAcentral lists this long non-coding RNA (1205 nucleotides) under Apteryx owenii (little spotted kiwi). Its description in RNAcentral is "lncRNA (ENSAOWG00000016105.1)". The record is from RNAcentral. Lineage: Eukaryota; Metazoa; Chordata; Aves; Apterygiformes; Apterygidae.